CAGCGGCUGGAAGAGCACCG
RNAcentral lists this small nuclear RNA (20 nucleotides) under Arabidopsis thaliana (thale cress). RNAcentral's name for it is "snRNA_01551". Lineage: Eukaryota; Viridiplantae; Streptophyta; Magnoliopsida; Brassicales; Brassicaceae. The record is from RNAcentral.